AUUGAACGCUGGCGGCAGGCCUAACACAUGCAAGUCGAGCGGAUGAGGGGAGCUUGCUCCUUGAUUCAGCGGCGGACGGGUGAGUAAUGCCUAGGAAUCUGCCUGGUAGUGGGGGAUAACGUUCCGAAAGGAACGCUAAUACCGCAGACGUCCUACGGGAGAAAGCAGGGGACCUUCGGGCCUUGCGCUAUCAGAUGAGCCUAGGUCGGAUUAGCUAGUUGGUGAGGUAAUGGCUCACCAAGGCGACGAACCGUAACUGGUCUGAGAGGAUGAUCAGUCACACUGGAACUGAGACACGGUCCAGACUCCUACGGGAGGCAGCAGUGGGGAAUAUUGGACAAUGGGCGAAAGCCUGAUCCAGCCAUGCCGCGUGUGUGAAGAAGGUCUUCGGAUUGUAAAGCACUUUAAGUUGGGAGGAAGGGCAGUAAGUUAAUACCUUGCUGUUUUGACGUUACCAACAGAAUAAGCACCGGCUAACUUCGUGCCAGCAGCCGCCGUAA
Molecule: ribosomal RNA, 500 nt
Filed under: uncultured bacterium
Lineage: Bacteria
Description: partial 16S ribosomal RNA
Rfam family: Bacterial small subunit ribosomal RNA
Source: RNAcentral